UGGCGGCGUGCCUCAGACAUGCAAGUCGAACGCGAAAGUCCCCUUCGGGGGGCGAGUAGAGUGGCGCACGGGUGAGUAACACGUAGGUAAUCUACCUUUGGAUGGGGAAUAACAAUCGGAAACGAUUGCUAAUACCGCAUAAUGCAGCGGCACCUAAUGGUGACAGUUGUUAAAGCGGGGGAUCGAAAGACCUCGCGUCUAAAGAGGAGCCUGCGGCGGAUUAGCUAGUUGGUAAGGUAAUGGCUUACCAAGGCUACGAUCCGUAACCGGCCUGAGAGGGCGGUCGGUCACACUGACACUGACAUACGGGUCAGACUCCUACGGGAGGCAGCAGUCGGGAAUUUUGGGCAAUGGGCGAAAGCCUGACCCAGCAACGCCGCGUGAAGGAUGAAAUCCCUCGGGAUGUAAACUUCGCAAGAACGGGAAGAAUAAGUAGGGGACAAUACCCCCUAUGAUGACGGUACCGUUUGUAAGCUCCGGCUAACUCCGUGCCAGCAGCCGCGGUAAUACGGGGGGAGCAAGCGUUGUUCGGAUUUACUGGGCGUAAAGGGCGCGUAGGCGGCCAGCACAAGUCAGUUGUGAAAUCUCCGAGCUUAACUCGGAAAGGUCAACUGAUACUGUGCGGCUAGAGUGCAGAAGGGGCAACUGGAAUUCUUGGUGUAGCGGUGAAAUGCGUAGAUAUCAAGAGGAACACCUGCGGCGAAGGCGGGUUGCUGGGCUGACACUGACGCUGAGGCGCGAAAGC
This 745-nucleotide ribosomal RNA is filed under the name uncultured soil bacterium. RNAcentral describes it as "bacterial SSU rRNA". It matches the Rfam family "Bacterial small subunit ribosomal RNA", at positions 37 to 760 of the family's 1533-position model. The record is from RNAcentral.